Saccostrea cuccullata (small rock oyster) is the source of this 356-nucleotide long non-coding RNA. RefSeq lists it as uncharacterized. The record is from RefSeq and is a predicted model, not a curated record. Lineage: Eukaryota; Metazoa; Mollusca; Bivalvia; Ostreida; Ostreidae. The transcript has 3 exons.
CUGACAUUUGUUCUAAAAAAUGUCAAAUUAAAAUCAACAACUUGGAAAAUGUGGCAUUGGAUCAAAACAAGCAUAGCAGUUCUCACGUCUCACGCUUCUUUAAACUGGCAUCGUUUGCACUUAGUUUCAACGGUUUAAGCAAAAAUUUUAUGGGAAUCCGCAGGAGAUGUAGUGCUGAUAUUGAAAACAGAACCAUGGAUAAAAUUUGUAAACCCGAUUGUGAAAAUGUAGAUGUUGACCAGUGAAGAGGUGUGUCAGCCGCGUGUUACUAAACGCCUUUUGUCUGAUAUAUUGAACAGUCCUAGUCCUCUUGUGCGAUGACGUCACAGUGACCGGAAGCCAUAUUCUUUACUUAG